RNAcentral lists this ribosomal RNA (557 nucleotides) under Ascomycota sp. VTCCF1219. RNAcentral's name for it is "eukaryotic LSU rRNA". It matches the Rfam family "Eukaryotic large subunit ribosomal RNA", at positions 38 to 633 of the family's 3401-position model. The record is from RNAcentral. Lineage: Eukaryota; Fungi; Ascomycota.
GCAUAUCAAUAAGCGGAGGAAAAGAAACCAACAGGGAUUGCCUUAGUAACGGCGAGUGAAGCGGCAACAGCUCAAAUUUGAAAUCUGGCACCCGCCCGAAUUGUAAUUUGUAGAGGAAUGUUCGGCAAUGACAUUGGUCCAAGUUUUCUGGAAUGGAACAUCUUGGAGGGUGAGAAUCCCGUACGAUCAAUGCUCUGCGCUAUGUGAACUUCCUUCGAAGAGUCGAGUUGUUUGGGAAUGCAGCUCAAAAUUGGUGGUAAAUUCCAUCUAAAGCUAAAUAUUGGCCAGAGACCGAUAGCGCACAAGUAGAGUGAUCGAAAGAUGAAAAGCACUUUGGAAAGAGAGUGAAACAGUACGUGAAAUUGUUGAAAGGGAAGCGCUUGCAAUCAGACUUGUUACUUUUGUUCCCCCUCUGGGCUUACUCAAAAGUGUCAGGCCAACAUCAGUUUUGGCGGUUGGAUAAAGGUUUAGGGAAUGUGGCUCCUCGGAGUGUUAUAGCCCUUUUCAUAAUACAGCCUGCCGGGACUGAGGUCAGCGUUCGCUAGGAUGUUGGCGUA